This 465-nucleotide ribosomal RNA is filed under the name uncultured Dehalobacter sp. Its description in RNAcentral is "bacterial SSU rRNA". It matches the Rfam family "Bacterial small subunit ribosomal RNA", at positions 923 to 1382 of the family's 1533-position model. The record is from RNAcentral. Lineage: Bacteria; Bacillati; Bacillota; Clostridia; Eubacteriales; Desulfitobacteriaceae.
GCGACAAGCGGUGGAGCAUGUGGUUUAAUUCGACGCAACGCGAAGAACCUUACCAGGGCUUGACAUCCCUUGACAGUCGUAGAGAUACGGUGUUCGAACCUUCGGGUUCGACAAGGAGACAGGUGGUGCAUGGUUGUCGUCAGCUCGUGUCGUGAGAUGUUGGGUUAAGUCCCGCAACGAGCGCAACCCCUACUUUAGUUGCCAGCAUUUAAGGUGGGCACUCUAAAGGAACUGCCGGUGACAAACCGGAGGAAGGUGGGGAUGACGUCAAAUCAUCAUGCCCUUUAUGUCCUGGGCUACACACGUGCUACAAUGGCUGGUACAGAGGGCGGCGAAGGAGCGAUCUGGAGCGAAUCCCAAAAAGCCAGUCUCAGUUCGGAUUGCAGGCUGCAACUCGCCUGCAUGAAGUCGGAAUCGCUAGUAAUCGCGAGUCAGCAUAUCGCGGUGAAUACGUUCCCGGGUCUU